GGAAAUCAACAAACUUUUGUCAGUUUUGCCAAAAAAAAUAUAUAUCUUUUUGUCAAGAACUUGGCCAAUUUUCUGCGGUUACGUACACCAGUAAAUCGUGGUGCCUCCACUAUUAGUACUCGGCCUUGUCGACUUAAGAACAAUUAUCAGUUAUGUAUGAAUAUGUUUUUUUCUUUACACCAGAAACAUCUCAUGUAAGAGAUCCUAAAAUACCCAGGUGCCAGUUCACCCUAUCUAACAUUUUUCAGCUAGCAGCAAUCAGAAGUUUACAAAACAAACCAAACCAAACCUCACACACUUUGACUUUCUUCGGCGAUCGAAUGUCUCAUAAAAUGGUUAAUGAUACAAAGAGGUACGCUCUUCUUCUGCCUCAAAGUCCUCCGCUUGGAGGCCUUUGAGGGAGAAGGAGAGAAAACUCCUUGAAGACCACUCCUUAGUCCUUCCUCUUCGCAGUUCUUGUCUGCGAG
This 467-nucleotide long non-coding RNA is filed under the name Panicum hallii. Its description in RNAcentral is "long non-coding RNA (PHAL_LNC000674)". The record is from RNAcentral. Lineage: Eukaryota; Viridiplantae; Streptophyta; Magnoliopsida; Poales; Poaceae.